This is a non-coding RNA of Nothobranchius furzeri (turquoise killifish), 9570 nucleotides long. The record is from RefSeq and is a predicted model, not a curated record. NCBI's taxonomy places the organism in Eukaryota, Metazoa, Chordata, Actinopteri, Cyprinodontiformes, Nothobranchiidae.
GGGAAAGCCAUUCGUGGGAAGGGAUGGGUUUCCCACAACAGCAAUAAGGAAUGCCAGGACUUCUGCUAUGUUUGUGACUGUAAAGGGCGCAGUUUUCUGCAGAAGCAGUUUUGGGUUCACACAAGUCCCAGAUAUAGAAAACCUUAGGAUACUUCAUUUACUGAAAACGUUUAACACCAGUUACUGGAAUGCUCCAUAACAAGAGCGAGGAAACAGUAUUUUAUCUUGAUUAUUGUGAAGACGUUUCUCAUUUUUGUAAAAGUUUAUUUAAAAUCUGCAAAACUUUCUGACGUAAUUGCACAAACAGCAAAGCUUACAGCAUUAUUUGGUUUUCAUACCGUAAAUUUACAAAGAAAGUAAGAAAGUCUUGUUUAGUGCAUCUAUUUGUCCUAAAUCCCUUCAUUUGAAUGUUAUUUGUUUUUCUUUCAUUCAACACUUCUUGAUCAAACAGACUACAUGUGGACGUCUCAAAGCAAAUAACCUGAUAGUUUAACUACUGUGACUAUAAACCUGGAAACAAUGUCAUCACUAAACCCAGUUACAGCUGUGAAGCAGGCACUCAUAACACUCAGCCACAACACAAACAACAAAACAUCAGCUCCUCUAAAUCUGAGAGCAUGGUCUUGACUAGGAACGGGGUAGAAUGCCUUCUCCAGGUCAGGGAUGAGGUCCUGCUCCAAGUGGAGGAGUUUAAGUAUCUCAGGGUCUUGUUCAUAAGUGAGGGAAAGAUGGAGAGUGAGAUUGGCAGGUGGAUUGGUGCUGCAUCUGCAGUGAUGCGAGCGUUGUAGCGGUGAAGAGAGAGCUGAGUCAGAAGGCAAACCUCUUGAUUUACCGGUUGAUCUACGUUGUCACCUAUGGUCACAAGCUUUGGGUAGUGACCAAGGGCGUCAGUUUGUUUUCAGAAUUGCUGGGGACAAUAACCAUACACUUGAGUGGGGCUUAAAAAUUGCUGGGGACAAUAAAGUAGGCUAGCACAGGGGUCGGCAACCCGCAGCUCUGGAGCCGCAUGCGGCUCCUCCAUCCAUCUGAUGCGCUCUCUGUGCUUGUAAAAUAAUGAAUGGAUAUUUAAAUAAAAUGCUUUAUAUUUUACUGCAUUAAUUUUACAUCUGUAUGCCAAUUCUAAAUGUAAAGAUUGUCUGCGUAAACCUGAACAGGUCCAACCCGGUCUGUGAGACAGGGUUGACGCGUCACGCUUGUGCGUAAUCAUAUCGGCGCUUCUGAGCUGCUUUCUGACCUUCCCCACCUACAAAGUUUAAUUACAACAAUCAAACGUGACAGAGCCUGGAUUUGUAUUCUGAACAGUCUAAACAUGUUUUAAAAAGAAACGUAGGACAAAAGUGGCACCUGCUCAGUAAAACCACCAACAGUGUGAAUAUUGAAGGCAGAGACGGGCUACAGCUUCUGGAUCCACUUUAUUUAAUCGUUUUAUUGAUUAUCUUUUUAUGAAAGAUAACUUUGACGUACAUGAGCGAUCAGGCGCGUUGCAAGCUUUUCAAAAGUGUAGGGGAUGUUGUCUGUGCCUAAAAUAAUUUCAUGUUCAUCUUGUUAUUUUAAUUUCCAUAAUAGCGGAGCAGGUGCGAAUUUUAGACGCGUCACGCAUGUCUCCGUUUUAAACAUGUUUAAACUGUUCAGAAUACAAAUCCAGGCUCUGUCUCGUUAGAUUGGUGUAACUAAAGUUUGUACUGAAUGAAACUUUACAUUAAACCAUGUUGAAAAGAAAAGGAUCCGAUUAAAUUGUUUCCCCCUCAUUUACAGUCAGUGCAGCGCAGUGCGCACGGCUCUGGGGUUAAUCAAGUUUAGUUGUUUCUCUUUGCAACAAUCUUCACAAGAAGGCAAAAGAGUUAAAUGACAGGUUACAGAUAUUUCCAUUUGACUGUUUAUUUUGACGGAUAAACUCAAGGAUGUUGGUUGAUUUCCUCCCACUGAAGCGGUCUGGAAACCCGGUCUCUCUGAGGGAUCUGUCACUUGGAAAAUGUUAUUUUUAUGAAAUUAUGAAAGUUUGGCUGAAUAGCGCUUGUUCCCGUCUCCAAUAUGGAGACGCAUGAUGCAUCCAGUCGCCUCUUCAGCUCAUAAAGCACCUGUAGAGACACUUGGUCACGCACAAAGUUCAUGUGGAGCAGAAGCGGUCGGGCUACGGCAGGUGAAAUGUUCCUAGCCUACAUGAAGUGAAACUGUUUAAUUGUAACAUUAAUGUGUUACUGGACACGCUGGUCUGGUUGGUUAGACCAGUGUUUGAAGUGGAAAACACACACACACACACACACCAAUUAAAAUAAUGCUGAUAGCGUGGACUAGAAGACAGGUGAUGGUUUACGUAUUUAAAUGAUGAUCAGACUGCUGUAAAAUGUAAUCUCCAUCCACAUCCAGACAAUUAUCCUCUAUUCUUUCUCUAGUUGCUCUGCUCUUGUCUGGGCUGACAGCUGACGGUGCGCGCGGUGCGCCUAGUGGCUGUGAUGCACAUUUUACGCAUUUGGAGAGGUGGACCGGAUGCUUUGCUUUUACUGGAAGAUGGUCCACUUAACGCACGGUUGUAGACUACAUAUUAAUGACAAAUGAAUGAAAAUUAAAUUGUGAGUUUUUACUUCAUAUUUUAUAAAUAAAAAUGACGGGGGAACACAUUUAUGACGUCUUUUUAAACUAAAUUUUCUAGCGCGACCUGCCUGCUUCACUUGUCACUGCUUAUUAAGGUCCGUCCAAAAUUACCGUGGCCCAUCCAAAAAUGAAAACCUGACGCCACGCCUGUUAUAAACCUCUGCAGAUUGGUGUUCUUCACUUGAUCAAACUCAGACUUUGUACAGCUAAUGUCAAGAUGUAAAAUUAUGAAUUCAGUCAACCUCUUCCAUCCCUCCAUCUCCUGCUCUCCUUGAACCCGACAUCGGCUGUCAGAAUAGGGGAGGUGAAGAAGGAGAUGAGGCAAACAGAGUGAGUGCGACCUGAAGAAACCAGACUGGAGUGGAGGUGAGCAAAACAGCUGGAAAAGUGUGGGUGUUGCAUCCCCCACGGGUGUGACGCCCAUAGUACCGGCUGCUGUCACCUGUUGUGAGCAGCUCUCUGCUGUCUGAGGGUAGGCCCCACCCACAAUGCCGCGGCUGCUGCGGUGUUUUCUUUACUGUGGGAAACGGGUAAUAAUGGCUCUUUGAUGGGAACAGGUUGCCGACCCCUGGUAUAAGAUCUGAGCUGGUAAAACAAAAAUCCUCAUCAGCAGGCUUUUUUGAAAGUGGGGGGGGGGGACACAGCUGCCAAUUACAAAUUUUGCCGGGGACAUGUCCCCGGCGUCCCCGGUUAAAAUGACGCCUAUGCUAGUAGUGACCAAAAGAACAAGAUCACGGACACAAGCGGCCAAAAUUUGUUUCCUCUGCAGGGUGGCUGGGCUCUCCCAAAGAGAUAGGGUGAGAAGCUCGGUCAUCCGGGAGGGGCUCAGCGUAGACCGGCUGCUCCUCCACGUCUAGAGGAGCCAGUGGAAGUGGCUCGGGCAUCUAGUCAGGAUGCCUCCUGGACUUCUCCCUGGUGAGGUUUUCUUGGCACGUCCAACUGGGAGGAGACCUAAAGGGAGACACAGGACACGCUGGAGAGACUAUGUCUCUCGGCUGGUCAGGGAACGCCUUGGGAUUCCCCCGGAGGAGCUGGUCCAACUAGCUGGGGAGAGGGAAUUCUGGGCCUUCAUGCUUAGGCUGCUGCCCCCAUGACCCGACUCUGGGUGAGUGGAGGAAGGAAGGAUGGAUAGAUUUAUUUUUACGGUUAUUUCUCUUCUUUUGUAAUUCAUACAUUUUUGUAAUACUUUAUGCACUUUUAACAAUGGACCCCCGGAUGAUUGCUCUCACUGGUUGACUAUUGGAGAUCCACGAAGGAAAACUUCUAACAAUAAUGCUUUAUUACUAGUAAAAAAUUACGUUUUUUCAGGCAUUUUAAAAUGGUAUUAUGCACCACCACUUUGAAGAUAUAAACAUUUGCAAAUGUUAAUUUAAGUUGAAGUUUAUCCCAUAUAAUGGCUGUUCUAUAAUAUGUUUUUGAGAAAAACAACCGAGAUUGUCACUGUUGGAGAAAAUCAGUUUACUGCAGUUAGUGUCAUGAGCCGAGGUGAACCACCUGUCCAUAGACAAUCUUUCAGCCUUCUUUCAGGUGGGAGAGACGAAGAGGCACCAGCUGGAUCCAAUCAUCACUGAUGGGGUCAGGUCUAAAAGGAGGAUGAGGACACCACACCUCGCUGGAUGAUUGUUACUGUUUGGGCACCUUCAACAACGCUCCAAAGCUACCAUAAACCUCUGGAUCCCUCUGGACCCCGUCUCUUCCUCUUCCACUGACCAACCCGUUCUCUCUCUCCGCUCUCCCACCCCUCUAGUUGGACUCUGAACCUCGGCUCGCUGCCUUUCCCACGCUCACAAGGUCUCGCCUCCUACUCCCUCCUGACCCGCUACGCUCUCACCGGACGUCCCGGUGCACCUUUAGUUCCCGUUUUGCAUAAUAAAUGUUUUCUUUCAACUUACCUUUGUCGUGUUGAUUCUGCAUGUCUUGGGUUAAACUCCUUUCUCAGAACAUGACAGUCAUGUUUUAAAUGAACAUUUUAUAAAAUUGAUGUAUCUUCAUGUUAUGUAAAGUCUUAUCUCUGAGUAGGUUUAAUCAGUUUCUUCAUGCUCUCUUGUGACUAAAGAGUCUCUUGGUGACCUGACUGUUGACUCUGUGGGGUUUUCUGAUCAUGCAGCAAAUAUAUUUGACAUCACACGUCUCCUACCUCCAGCUCAGAGGCAGGUUGCUCGUUACUCUAGGCGUAUACUAGUAUAACCUCUGACUUCCUGUUGACUCUGGAUAUUGAGUCUCUCAUCCCACCCCCCUCAGCCUCUUGCAUGGAUGUAGAUGGCCUUCUGCAUCUGUUCAGUACAACCUGCUCUGCCGCCCUGGAUGCCGUUGCCCCUCUCAGACCUAGGAGGAAUUGGAUUAUUUCAGACCCUUGGCUAAAUGAUUAGACCCGGAGCUCCAUGUAACGGUGCAGAGUGUUGGAGCGAAGGUGGAAGAAAGACAGACUCCCAUGCUCUCAGCAGCUCCUGGUUGAUGCCCUUUCCUGUUGUCAGAAAGCUGUUAGAUCUGCACCAAAUAACUAUUUUUCUAACAUCAUUGCACAGCACCGACCAGUCUAAACUAUAUAGUACAGUCAAUUCUUGUCAUUGUCUGAAACUGAUGGCAUAAUUUGUACUGUAGCUUUCUAUACAGAGUUACAGAAAUUUUUAUAAACAGAAUUCUAGACAUUAGGUCUGGCCUUGAAUGUCACAGAAUGAGUGACAGGCUGAAGGCAUGCAUGGAAGCCUUCAGCCUUCCAUGGAUGCCGACGGACUCUGGUCUGUCGGCAUGCAAGGAAGAUAUACAGGACCGGCUAGCUUAAAUCAACUAAAAACUGAGUCCAUCAUUUUUGAUCGCAGAGGGCCCCCUUGCUCUCAGUCUGCUACUGAUCCUUUGACCUCUACACACAAGCGGUGUGUCUUGGGGUAAAAUUAGAUGCUGAACUCUCAAUGGUUUCUCAGGUAAAUUCUGUAGUGAGGUCGUGUUUUUACCAGUUUCGUUGUCUAUCUCAUCUGAAACCAAUUCUGAAGCGGAUGCAUUUGGAAUCAGUUAUUCAUGCAUUUAUCACCUCCCGAUUAGACAUUGCAAACGCGCUCCUCCCUGGCAUUCCCAACUCGGUCUUAAACCAGCUACAGGUUGUCCAGAAUGCAGCUGCAAGGUUCCUAACGACUACAAACAGACGUAACCACAUCACGCCGGUCCUUGCACGCCUUCAUUGGCUCCCUGUCACAUUCUGUGUACCGUUCAAGCUGCUGACUUUUGUUUUUAAAGCACUAUAUGGUGAAGCACCAGCAUACCUGUCAGAACUGCUUAUGUUCCCACGCGCUGGCUGAGGCCAGCUGAUCACCUCCUGCUCUGUAUUCCACAGAUGUGCUAUAAAUCGAGGUGUGAGCGAGCAUUUGGCCAUGCUGCCCCCCAGCUGUAGAAUGCAUUGCCCAUCACUGUAAGGCAGGCUCCCUCUUUGGCAGUCUCACAUGAACACCCACUUUUAUGGAUUAGCUUUUAAUUUCUGACUCGUGGGGUCGUUUCUCUGUUUUAUUGUCUAAACUGUGCUUUUAGUGUUUUAAUAUAUUAAUGUGUUUUGAAUUGGGAUCCUAUUUGUGCACUUUUUUUAAUCGCUAUUUUAGUGAUUUUAAGUUGCUGUAUUUGCCUGUGAAGCACUUUGGUCAGCUCUCAUGUUGUGUAUAAAAUUGUGCUAUACAAAUAAAAUGGUACGGUAUGGUGUUUGGACGGAUGACAUCCGAUUCAUUAGUUCUUCUGAUUCCGUUCAUCUUUAGAACAGAAUCUAAUCCUGGAACAUGAACCAGUCCAGAUGUGUGUGCUUUUUCAGGUCUGGUAGUCCAGUAGGACAGAAGGAUGUUCUCAGCUGCUCUGAAACCAUAGUUACUGCUGCUGCCAUGGUAACAUUGGAACCAGAGUCUGAAAGCUCUUUUGUUUAAUCAGUGCUUUGAAGUAAACAUCAGGACGUUUUAGUGGUUAGCUUCUUUAAUCAAAUAUAAGUUGUGCUGAGGCAUCAGUAAAUAAUUCCCAAAGUCAUAAAGGACAGAUUUAUCUAGAUUAUCUACACAGCGGUGAGUCUUUGUGGGUUAGGGAGGGUGGAAGUUUCUCCUGAGAUCUCUUCAUUCUCAACGACCAAAACCUCGUGAUUACUCCAAAAUGUUGCAAAUUACGGAUCAGCGCCAGAAGAUUCUGGAUGACAGGUGAAGACAAGUCAUACACAUAUCCGUUCUAGAGGAGAACUAUGGUGGAAAAACUUAAUGUCAAAGAGCUUGGACCAGAUCAGCCCGAUGUAAAGAUAAACCAGCAGGACAAGGAGAAGGAAGGUGGAUGUGGAACUUGUGUCUCAUUGGGGACUCCAUUCAUUCUCUGACUGAGGAAUGCAGCGCAUCAGUGCAGCAGCCAACAAAGAAACGGAGGACGUUUGGACAGGGAGAACAGCAGCUGGGUGCAGAGGUAAGCUGUACAUUACAUUUCUGUAAUCAGAAUCAGAAAUCCUUGGUUGUCCCACAAACUGGGACAUUUGUUUAAUAACAUGUACAUUGUUUAAUGUGCAAUAACUGUAAAAACUAAUUUCAACACACAUACUUAUUAUACAUAUUUAAUCAUGUAAAUGUGUAUUUCAAGUAAAUUUGUACAUACAUCAAUCUGAUUCCAUUUUACUUGUUACACUUCUGCUGCAGCAAACAAAUUUCCCAGCUUUUGGGACAAUAAAACAUUUCUGAUUCUCAAUGAGAUGUUUUUUACAUUUGAAGUAAAAACAUCUCAUUGAGAACCAGCAAUGUUUUAUUGUCCCAAAAAGUGGGAAAUAUGACAUUUGUAAGAGGAUACUGAUGACAUUAUUUCCUAUGAAAGUGUUUCCACUUUCCACAAGUCCUAACAGUGUAAAUUUCUGGCAUUUUGUCUAAGUAGUGUUUACUACCAUUACUGUAACAGUGACCUGCUCAUAAUUUUUCGUGUUCACUCAAAUGUUGAAAUUAAACAAAAUGUUUUUGUUACUUGCCUCUUGCAUUGCCUAUUUACCAUUUAUGGUCAUGUUAUUUUAUGUGCAAUUUAAUGCAGUAUUUUUCAACCUUGGUCCGCAAGGCAGCGUGCCAAUAGUCAGACACACCUGGAUUAAUCAGUUUGUCCAAUGAUGUAAGACAGGAAAUAAAAGAGCUGUGCUUAAUUCAGGAAAUAGUGAAGUUGUGCACAAAGCUCAGAAAGCACAAGUUUGUUUAAAAAAAUAUAGCACAGCCCCACCAAAAAUAUUUUUCACCAGCCGCCACUGGUUGUUUGUUAAAAACCAUCCGACGCAAUCUGUGCCAAGUCUACGCACCCUUUGUGAGGAGAUUCUUGUGCGAUCCAGGGUGUUGAUGGUCACUGCUGGUGGAGUCAACCUCUGAUAUCAGGAACCUGUAGAUUAGCUCCGAUAGGACCCAUCUAAUCUGAGAUCUCUCCAGGUGAUGGCAGGAAGCUGGAAGGCUUAUUUGCGUCUAAGCUUGAUGUUUUCUUGGCUCAGAAGAGCCGGUUGUCUGAUAUCAGCCACAGCGUUGCAGAGAGGCUUUGACUGGAGGUCAAAGGAGAAGAUGGUUUCAAAAUUGUUUCAUUCCCGAUUUGGCCGAAUCGGGAGUCAGCUAGAAACUGAACUAAUCAGGAAGUGAUUCUUGUUUUAAUAAACUCAUUGUUUAGAAAGUCUGGUGCAUUCUGGUAAAUCAGAAUGUGCCAAGUCUUGAGGGCUUUACCAAACAUUCCUCGUGUGGCAUGGUGGAGAAACGAGGGCCCGGGCGGGAUUUGAUCCCCAGACUUCCAGGUGAGAGUAGUGCGCUAACCAGUCAGCCAAAGGGACAUCCCCGUGGCCAAGUAGUCAGGUUGCAUGAUAAAUUGGGACACUGUGACACUGUGACAGGACGCUCACACUGCUACACUCAGAAGCCACGCCUUGUUCAGAGACAAAGGUGUUUAACUCUUUGUGAAUGAGAAUGUUUUAAAACACUUAUGUGAAGUAAAUAUUACCAUUAAUAAGUAUCUUAUUGUAAUGUGUAUGAGUGUAGAUAUUGAUUAACUCAUUAAAUAAAACACAUACUGAUCUGGUGUAGAUGAGAUCUGAAAUGAAUCAUUGUAAGAACAGUAUUCUUUUUAAAGCCAUCAUUGCUUUUAGCACAGAUUAUUCAAACAUUUGAUUUAAACAUCUUGUUCAUUCAACACAUAUGAUUAUUUAAGCUUAUGAGUCGUAAAGUCCUGUAGGAGCUUCAAGUAGGUUUGAUUUUUAUUCAGGGUGAGGAAUGAGCAGUCUGGCUUUAAACAGAGACAACAGGACCUUUGCAGGAGACCUUGACAAUUUUCUUAUGUCUUCUUAUAUGCAAACAAGAAUUUAGCAGAAGUUUCUGGAUUUGGAGGCCAGUUGGAUAGUGGGUUUAUGUCUGCAAAUGAAUGGUUUUCCUGUGGUGAAUUAGACGGUGCAAAAUUGAUCAUUUGAAUACGUAACAGCUGACUAUUUGCUUCUAAUUCAUUGUUAGCAUUGUUAGCUCAACAUUAGCCUCUUGCAUGCUUCAUCUGAUAUUGAAGUAAAACAACAGGAUGCCAGGGCUGCUUAGGGUUGCAAGGACUAACUUCUGGGUCGCUCCUGUUGGCUAGCUUUCAACUCUGGAGUUUUCGCCUGCAAAUGUUACAUUACAAAUGCCAGUGCUGCAACAUUAGAUUAGUGCAGAUUUGGCAACCUCACGGGCUCACAGAUCGUAAACAGUAACUAUACGUCCCUCUUGAAUUUGUUUUAAAGGAAAACAACUGACAACCCUCCAGCUGGCUGAGAUUUAAAUCUGUUUCAGUGUGACCUUCCUUCCAACACUAUGGAGACAUGAAACAGUUUUGUGAUGACUUCACUGUAGAAUCAUUACAUACUGCUCCUUUAAGCUUUGAACAUCAUAAAGAAUAAUGAGGGUUAAAACUCCUCUCUUCUUUUGCUGAAGGCGAGGAUUAGUCAAAGAUAAAACUGUGAUUCAGCAAGUUCUCAUAGAAAAAUAUGUUUUUAUUCUGUUUUAC